RNAcentral lists this microRNA precursor (93 nucleotides) under Nicotiana attenuata. RNAcentral's name for it is "MIR6152 microRNA precursor family". It matches the Rfam family "MIR6152 microRNA precursor family". The record is from Rfam by way of RNAcentral. Lineage: Eukaryota; Viridiplantae; Streptophyta; Magnoliopsida; Solanales; Solanaceae.
UGGAAAGAUUGUAUUCGACUGUAUUCACGGCGUGAAACAGGGGAUUACACUAUUUUUAAACGGAAAGUGAAUCAAUUAACAUAAUAGACUCCU